RNAcentral lists this ribosomal RNA (278 nucleotides) under uncultured bacterium. RNAcentral's name for it is "partial 16S ribosomal RNA". It matches the Rfam family "Bacterial small subunit ribosomal RNA", at positions 1224 to 1500 of the family's 1533-position model. The record is from RNAcentral.
CGUACAAUGGGUGGGUACAGAGGGCAGCCAAGUCGUGAGGCGGAGCUAAUCCCUUAAAGCCAUUCUCAGUUCGGAUUGUAGGCUGAAACUCGCCUACAUGAAGCUGGAGUUACUAGUAAUCGCGGAUCAGAAUGCCGCGGUGAAUACGUCCCCGGGUCUUGUACACACCGCCCGUCACACCAUGGGGGUCGGAAAUGCCCGAAGUCGGUGACCGAACCGAAAGGAAGGAGCCGCCGAAGGCAGGUCUGGUGACUGGGGUGAAGUCGUAACAAGGUACC